UGGGGAAUUUUGGACAAUGGGGGCAACCCUGAUCCAGCGACGCCGCGUGGAGGACGAAGGUCUUCGGAUUGUAAACUCCUUUUGAAGGGGACGAAUGCCUACGUGAAUAACGUAGGGUGACAGUACUCUUCGAAUAAGCCACGGCUAACUUCGUGCCAGCAGCCGCGGUAAUACGAAGGUGGCAAGCGUUACUCGGAAUUACUAGGCGUAAAGCGCAGGUAGGCGGUUCGGAAAGUCUUUUGUGAAAGCUCCCGGCUUAACUGGGAGAGGCCAAGGGAUACUCCCGGACUUGAGUGUGGUAGAGGAUGCUGGAAUUCCCGGUGUAGCGGUGAAAUGCGUAGAGAUCGGGAGGAAUACCGAUGGCGAAGGCAAGCUUCUGGCCGAUAACUGACGCUGAGGUGCGAAAGUGUGGGGAUCAAACA
Molecule: ribosomal RNA, 422 nt
Filed under: uncultured prokaryote
Description: bacterial SSU rRNA
Rfam family: Bacterial small subunit ribosomal RNA
Source: RNAcentral